RNAcentral lists this small RNA (571 nucleotides) under Histoplasma ohiense. RNAcentral describes it as "hypothetical lncRNA". The record is from RNAcentral. Lineage: Eukaryota; Fungi; Ascomycota; Eurotiomycetes; Onygenales; Ajellomycetaceae.
CAGGCUCAGGGGUAGGUGUUUGCAGAAAUCGAGGAUCUUCUGACUGUGUCUCCUCCUCCUCCUCCUCCUUAUCCUCCUUCUCAUCAUCAGUUGGAUUCUCGUCAUUAUCUGAAACAUCUGGAACAGGCGGUUUGGGCAGACGAAGGUGAAGGGUAGUUGGAGUCUCUUUACAAGCUUGCGAGGCAGUAGAACGGUGGGUGUUGCGGGGCAUAUUGAUGUAUUUGAUGAUAAAGGUGCGUAUUUGAUGAUAAAGGUGCGUAUUUGGAUGAAUUGGAUGAUAUUUGAAUGAUUCUAGAGAUACGUGGAUAUUUUGGUUAUUUUUGCGGUGUUUUGCUAUUAUUUUUCAGGGGGUGGCAGAAAAUUCUGUUUUCGCAAGCUUUACGUCCGCCACAAUAUUACUUAUGAAGUGGCUGGUAAAAAGCACUGGGUCGGAAUGAGAGCGGGAUGGCACGUGGAAAAUAAAGGAGAAUCAUUUCAAUCAUUUCGAUGUGGAUGGAAUUAGUAGAUGCAAAUGACUAGCUAUCGUUCCAAUUUCCUGUGCGCCGGAGGAAUGCCAAAGUAGAAAAUAGAG